RNAcentral lists this ribosomal RNA (253 nucleotides) under uncultured bacterium. RNAcentral describes it as "partial 16S ribosomal RNA". It matches the Rfam family "Bacterial small subunit ribosomal RNA", at positions 524 to 776 of the family's 1533-position model. The record is from RNAcentral.
UACGUAGGGUGCAAGCGUUAUCCGGAAUUAUUGGGCGUAAAGAGCUCGUAGGCGGUUUGUCGCGUCUGCUGUGAAAACUGGAGGCUCAACCUCCAGCCUGCAGUGGGUACGGGCAGACUAGAGUGCGGUAGGGGAGAUUGGAAUUCCUGGUGUAGCGGUGAAAUGCGCAGAUAUCAGGAGGAACACCGAUGGCGAAGGCAGAUCUCUGGGCCGUAACUGACGCUGAGGAGCGAAAGCGUGGGGAGCGAACAGG